This 502-nucleotide ribosomal RNA is filed under the name uncultured Alphaproteobacteria bacterium. RNAcentral describes it as "bacterial SSU rRNA". It matches the Rfam family "Bacterial small subunit ribosomal RNA", at positions 90 to 627 of the family's 1533-position model. Lineage: Bacteria; Pseudomonadati; Pseudomonadota; Alphaproteobacteria. The record is from RNAcentral.
GGGGAGUGGCAGACGGGUGAGGAACACGUGGGAACAUACCUUUUGGUUCGGAAUAACUCAGGGAAACUUGAGCUAAUACCGGAUAAGCCCUAACGGGGAAGGAUUUAUCGCCGAAAGAUUGGCCCGCGUCCGAUUAGCUAGUUGGUGAGGUAAUGGCUCACAAAGGCGACGAUCGGUAGCUGGUCUGAGAGGAUGAUCAGCCACACUGGGACUGAGACACGGCCCAGACUCCUACGGGAGGCAGCAGUGGGGAGUAUUGGACAAUGGGCGCAAGCCUGAUCCAGCCAUGCCGCGUGAGUGAUGAAGGCCCUAGGGUUGUAAAGCUCUUUCGACGGGGACGAUAAUGACGGUACCCGUAUAAGAAGCCCCGGCUAACUUCGUGCCAGCAGCCGCGGUAAUACGAAGGGGGCUAGCGUUGCUCGGAAUCACUGGGCGCAAAGCGCACGUAGGCGGACUUUUAAGUCGGAGGUGAAAUCCCAAGGCUCAACCUUGGAACUGCCUU